This 3321-nucleotide long non-coding RNA is filed under the name Homo sapiens (human). Its description in RNAcentral is "non-protein coding lnc-NDUFB9-2:3". The record is from RNAcentral. Lineage: Eukaryota; Metazoa; Chordata; Mammalia; Primates; Hominidae.
AAAGAGGAGCCUGCUGGUCUGCUGGCGGGCAGGCGGCGCUGGGCCGGAGCCUCUCCCUCCGGUGCGCACAGCGCACCCUCUCCUCCCCCGGCCGCCCGUCGCAGCGCGGAGAGGGCGUGUCGGCACCCUGCCUGGCGAGCGCCCACCCCUACAAUGGCUGCGAGCGCGCGGGACGGAGGGUGCACCGCCGCUCCCCGGGGACUUGCACGGGUGGCGCGCCUAGCCCAGAGCCCGCUUGUAGUGAGCGCUCAGUAGGGCGGGAAAGCUGCUGCCGCUACUGCGGCCUUCUGAGAAGACGCCCAUUCUCUGAUGUCAGGACUGCAUCGCCGAGUCCUGAUUGCAAAUAGCGAAAUAUAUAAUUAAGGAGAGUUCGGGGGCGUAUCCUGCAAUGGGAUGCCGAGUUCGAUAAAGUUGCAGGAUGCUGGGAAAGUGGAUUGAUUUGCUGUUGCUAAAUGAAUGGAAACAGCGUUAGAGCUUCUGUCCACGAUCCAUCAGUCUAUCGAGAUUGCUGAUUGCCUAUGACUUGGACGGUUGAUGGUUUUCAGGCCCACUGAGAGCAGCCAGCGUUGGUAUAACCGCAGGGAGCCCUCCUGGGAGGUUGAACCUGCAGAGCGCAAAUGUGCCCAGGUUGAUUUGGGGCCUAGUGGUCCAUUUUCACAGCUCCACUGCCUAUCUGCAUAACCAGGAGCCCUCAUUCAGAUGAACGCCAAAUGGGCCAGAGGGAGGAGAAUCAAAUGAGCAACUUUUAAAAGAUAUUAAGACAUAGGCACCUAACUCCGGACAGUUCCUUUAACCCUUGAGCUAACCAUUUGAAGCACAAAACAUAACAAAAGAAAAGACUGGGGGGAGUGGGGCCAAAAGAAACCAAGUGCAAAAUUCUGUACACUUGUGUCAGAUUCACUCCGUAAUGGGAAAAGGUCUGGCUUUGAAAACUUUAUGGAUCAAAGGGAUGCAUGGAGUUACACAGCACAGCUGCAGAAGAUAAUGUUCCCCUGGAUCACUCUGCCCAACUCUUAACUGCAACCCACCUUCCCCAUCCGUCUCCCCGAAAUCACCCGGAAGGGUGUUACCUUCAGGAAGUAACUGAUCUCUUGAUCACCCCUGCUGGAUCCUGUCCCCAAGGGCGUUCGAAUGCAUCCGACUCAUCUUCACCUUGCCAAUAACGGGUGCUUGACACAUCGUUUGCUGCCAAUCAUUAUUGUGAUUUUAAUACUAUUGGUAUUCUAACUAUCAAGAUGACUGCUUGUAGAGCCAGAUUGCCUGGAUUCAAACUCCAGUUCACAACCUACUAACUGUAUGCCUUUAGGUAUGUUACUUAACCUUUCUGGGCCUCAGUUUCCUCAUCCAUCUGUAAAUGGGGAUAAUGAUGGCUUCUACCUGAUAGGGCUGUUCUGAACAUUACAUGAGCUGAUCGAUGAAAGCACUUCAAGUGGUACCUGGCAUCUCGUAAACUCAGAUGCCUCUGAUGGAUUCGAAAUAACCAGAUAUAUUUCUGAAUUGCUUCAUAUGAAACAGUUGGGAAAAGAGAUUAAGGAAGGGAUGGUGCUGUUGGCUCCAGGCAGUGACUCAAGGAGGCAUUCAUGGUGAAAGAAGAAAGGCCUUUCUCAGGUGAUGCUUCAUCUUCCCCCACGUGCUCUGAUACCCUGUCCCUGCCUUGAUGUGUCUAUAAAUACAAACAGCAGGAGACCCGCAUCAGUAGACAAAGCAGGUGGCUGCAACCUAUUCUUCUUCCCAAUGGCCACUGGGACAGUUCCUCUCCCCCAGAACUUGUUGUUUAUAUUUAUUUUACACUAAAGCUAUUUUAACAUAAACCUGUUGAAAUAGGAGAGGGCUUCCCAUCUCACACCUCCACAGAUGUGUAUUUUCUAGAACAAAUUCAAGACUAAUCAUAAAAUGAAAACAGAUUUCCACAAAGUUGUUCUUUAUAAUGUAAAUUUUUUUCUGACAGGCAGCUUAAUACUUCAAAGGGCAACCCAUUCCUUUAUUGAUUAUAACUAAUUGUUUGAGAUUUUCUUUAGCAUGAGUUGAAAUUUUUCUUCCUUUGUCAAAGUGAAGGAAGGGACUUGUAUACAAGGAAGGUCCUUGUAUAAAGGACCUAUCAUCAAGGUACCAUCUCUCUUUAAACUUUAACUCCCAGAGGAGAAAUACCUAUAGCCACACAAUUCAUGUACUUUUUAGUCAUUGGAUCUCUAUGACUAUUAUCAUUAUAGAAACUGUUUUAAUAUAAUAAUAAUUUGAAAACUGGAUUUUAAGAAUACAAAUUUAGAAAUAGCAGUUCUCUCUAGAGACUCAUUCAUGAAUAUGGAAAGAUCUUUUAUCAGAUAAUUCCCCCCAGGGGUCCUUUAAAUAGCAAUCUCCUUCGUUUUGAUUCAAUUUGUAGAAAUCCCAUCUAGAUGCAUUACUGGACCACACAUUGUGUAAAGGAAGGUACAUUAUGUGUUGGGUAACCAUUUGGCUCUCUCUUUCUUCCCAACUUGUGACUAAUUGAUUUUGCCAUUAAUUGGGAUUUCCCCUGGAGGCCAUUUGAUCUGUUUGCAGGAUGAGCAGGGAGUUAGGGCAGUCCCUCCAGAUGGGACGGCUUUCAAUAAGCAGACAGUCCAAAGGGGCAUCAGAGUGAUACAGAAACGAUUAAUUGAAUAACUCACUUGAAAAUCAUGUGCUGCUUUAAAGACCUAAAAGCUAAGUAAAUACCUAAGUAAAGGCCAUACUGAUCAAGUAAGACUCCUUGUUGCAGCCUGGCUGAGAAUAAUGCCAGGAAAAAAAAAAUUUAAGAGCAUCCCAUUAAUGGAUUCUUUAAAAUACUGGAAGCAUGAUUCCAGGCAAUAACAUACUGUAAUCCCCAUAAUACUCACAUUUGCAUAACUCUAGAUAAUUUAUGAAGCAUUUUCGCAGAUACUGUGCAGAUCUCACACUGACACGGGGGUGGGUUGGCUGUGAAAGGGCUCAACUGGACUUACAUUCCAGGAGCAGAAACAGGCUUGGAGCUGUGGACUUCUCAGAGGCAUACAACUAGUAAGUGGCAGAAAUAUUACCAGAACCCAAAACUUCUAAUUCUAAAUUUCUUGACAACACACAGCACCAUCUCCCCAGUGCAUCACAGCUAAAACCACCUUACUGGACUCUGUUUUACCCUGGAGAAGAAAUGCAUACUGACUGAGGACUCUGCUCCAUGCCUGGCAAAAUAUUUGUAUUAUUUUUACAAGUAUGUUUUAGUUUUAUACAGAUAAAUACAAUUUUAAAUGGUUAAAGAUGGCCUCAUAUUUAAAAAGCACAUUGGGAGCCACUGUGUUAGAUUAUGCAGUGCAGACAUAGAGAACCAAA